CAGUAAGAAAAAAUGUGACCAUAACAAUUUCAUUCUCCUCCUCCAGCGGUAGUAGAAAGGUGUGUUCACUGAUAUUCCACUCUAACCCAAGCUCUCUAUUCCAGAUGUGUUGGUACUCAUCAAGAAUCUCAUUCAUGCCGCUUUUACUUCGAAGAGCCACUUUUGAACCAUCCAAUUUUAUUGUCUGAUCUCAAUCGCCUAAGUCCGAUUUUUUUUUUUAGUUUCUCCGAUGUGAACCACGUCCUCAAGUACCGCUCGUUGCAUUUUAGAACGCUUGCCCAAAAAAAGCGCAAAGCCGAUAAAGUCUGGACAUAUUAGGUUUUGAACCUGCAUUCCACAUUCCACCGUUACGUCAGAACACAGUUAUUAUUUUGAAAACUUCGCUUACAACGUACCGAUCUAAGGCAGCUCGAAGAAGUGGUCAACCUUCAGAGGAAUAAUUAUGCAAAGUGGUAAAAUGUGUUUCGUCAGCAGGAACAUGGAUGACAGUAAUAAUAAUCUUUUGACUGGAAAAUUUUCAAAUUCGAGUACUAAAACUAGUGCCAUUUUGGGUACAACGUUUACGGUUGGCGCAAAAGUACCCCGUACCUAAAAACGCACCGUCAUCCCGUUAGCCGGCACCCGGUCACUUGGUCACUUUACGACUGGAAUUAAUAAUUCUAAUAACGGUACUACCAGAAGACGUUCGUCGGAACCGCCUGCUCGACUUGCAGAAAGCAAAUUUAACUAACAGUACCGAUCCUGACACCUCUAUUAUCUUAAUUAUUUGCGAAUCGAGUGGUACCUGAAGCAGUACCAGCGUCUUAGUAUGGGUGUCACGAGUAUAUGUGUAACAGUUUAUGGAUUGCAGGUGCGGCACUCUCGUUACGCUAGCAGUACUAGUCGGAAGUUGCAUUGUAAUAACGAACGGAAACACCAUCUAACAGUCUGUAACGAUUCAUGGUCCAGACGUUCGUUCUUAGUUUUCGACUAAUCGAGUGGGUUGGUGGUACCAAUGGUACCAUAUAUGGCAGGAGUUUUUGCGUUGUGUCACUACUGCCUCCACUAUUGACACCUACUGACUACUACGGCGUAGGACGUGCAUAAAUUGAAGGUCGUGAAUGGAGGAUGCACUAGGCGCUAAGAAGGCGGUGUGAAAUUCACCCACGCUCGAGUCACGUCGGUCCUAACAAUUAUUUUGGAAAAAUAAAACGUUCUUGUUUCA
Molecule: long non-coding RNA, 1204 nt
Organism: Zophobas morio
Lineage: Eukaryota; Metazoa; Arthropoda; Insecta; Coleoptera; Tenebrionidae
Exons: 2
Source: RefSeq, a predicted model, not a curated record